GGGGGGAGGCGGGAUCCUGGGCUGUGUCCCGGCGCCCUGUGCUCCGGGGCCUGCGCUGGUGGAUUCGCGCUCACGGGGCCGCGCAGCCCCCU
This 92-nucleotide microRNA precursor is filed under the name Canis lupus dingo (dingo). RNAcentral describes it as "mir-8799 microRNA precursor family". It matches the Rfam family "mir-8799 microRNA precursor family". The record is from Rfam by way of RNAcentral. Lineage: Eukaryota; Metazoa; Chordata; Mammalia; Carnivora; Canidae.